Molecule: ribosomal RNA, 468 nt
Filed under: uncultured bacterium
Lineage: Bacteria
Description: partial 16S ribosomal RNA
Rfam family: Bacterial small subunit ribosomal RNA
Source: RNAcentral
GACGAACGCUGGCGGCGUGCUUAACACAUGCAAGUCGAACGGAAAGGCCCUGCUGUUGUGGGGUGCUCGAGUAGCGAACGGGUGAGUAACAAGUGAGUAACCUGCCCUUGACUUUGGGAUAACUUCAGGAAACUGGGGCUAAUACCGGAUAGGAGCUCCUGCUGCAUGGUGGGGGUUGGAAAGUUUCGGCGGUUGGGGAUGGACUCGCGGUUUAUCAGCUUGUUGGUGGGGUAGUGGCUUACCAAGGCUUUGACGGGUAGCCGGCCUGAGAGGGUGACCGGCCACAUUGGGACUGAGAUACGGCCCAGACUCCUACGGGAGGAAGCAGUGGGGAUUAUUGCACAAUGGGCGGAAGCUGGAUGCAGCAACGCCGCGUGCGGGAUGACGGCCUUCGGGUUGUAACCCGCUUUCGCCUGUGACGAAGCGUGAGUGACGGUAAUGGGUAAAGAAGCACCGGCUAACUACGUG